CACUGCCUCGUCCGCCAUUGGGGAGCCGCGGUCGCUCAACUCGAGGUGGAAUCCUGCCGACUACGCCAAAAUCUGUCACAGGCCGGAGCGGACCACCAAUUCAACGGGUCUCGCUCCUCCCUCUAACUUCCACCUCGAGGAGGUCCCACAACACCCCAAUGAAUGGACGGACAACCAAGAUUAAAAUGUAACAAUUUUAUUUGUUUAAAAGUUUGGGGAAAGGGGUAAGGAAACUUUAAAACUAAUGAUGACUCGAACUAUUCUUUAUCCACAAAUACGGAUUCCAGUCUCAAGAACACUCCUCUUCAGCCCUUCCUCGACAACACUCCACUUCAGCCCUUAAUUUCCCGCCGACUCCACUCCAGGUAAGUUUAAAGCAAGAGCUAGGCAGUUGACGUGCAGGGGUUCUAGCUCUCAGGUAAAUACAGUGUUCGAUACACAGGUGGGUAUUCACAGGGCUGGGCUGUUAGCGUGCAGGGGUUCUAGCUCUCAGGUAAGUACAGUGUUCGAUACACAGGUAAGUAUUCACAGGGCUGGGCUGUUAGCGUGCAGGGGUUCUAGCUCUCAGGUAAGUACAGUGUUCGAUACACAGGUAAGUAUUCACAGGGCUGAGCUGUUAGCGUGCAGGGGUUCUAGCUCUCAAUGUAAGUACAGUGUUCCAUACACAGGUGAGUAUUCACGGGGCUGGGCUGUUAAUGCGCUACUCACCACUGAAGAUAUUCAGAGGUCUGUAUUCCAAGCAGAUACGGGUUUAGUCGAUGACUGACGGCUGGUGGGCCUUACAGGUGAAACUGCAAACAAUACUGGGC
Long non-coding RNA from Carassius gibelio (silver crucian carp), 809 nucleotides. RefSeq lists it as uncharacterized. The record is from RefSeq and is a predicted model, not a curated record. The transcript is spliced from 4 exons. Lineage: Eukaryota; Metazoa; Chordata; Actinopteri; Cypriniformes; Cyprinidae.